GAGUUUGAUCCUGGCUCAGGACGAACGCUGGCGGCGUGCCUAACACAUGCAAGUCUGGGAGAAUUGGGUAGCAAUAUCCAUAGUAAACCGGCGCACGGGUGAGUAAUAUAUAGGUAACAUCCCCUUUGACUUGGAAUAACCCCGCGAAAGCGGGGCUAAUACCGAAUGAUGCAGCGGAUCCGCAUGGAUAUGUUGUUAAAGCUUCGGCAUCAAAGGAUUGACCUGUAUCCCAUUAGAUAGUUGGCGAGGUAACGGCUCACCAAGUCUGCGAUGGGUAGCUGAUCUGAGAGGAUGAUCAGCCACACUGGAACUGAGACACGGUCCAGACUCCUACGGGAGGCAGCAGUGAGGAAUAUUGCGCAAUGGAGGAAACUCUGACGCAGCGACGCCGCGUGAAGGAUGAAGGCCCUCUGGGUUGUAAACUUCUGUAGAGUGGGAAGAAUUUCCGCCUCUGGCGGAUUGACGGUACCACUAAAGUAAGGGUCGGCUAACUACGUGCCAGCAGCCGCGGUAAUACGUAGGACCCGAGCGUUGUCCGGAAUCACUGGGUGUAAAGGGAGCGCAGGCGGACUUUCAAGUCGAUGGUGAAAUCUUGUGGCUCAACCACAAAACUGCCGUCGAUACUGCUUGUC
RNAcentral lists this ribosomal RNA (632 nucleotides) under uncultured bacterium. Its description in RNAcentral is "bacterial SSU rRNA". It matches the Rfam family "Bacterial small subunit ribosomal RNA", at positions 9 to 641 of the family's 1533-position model. The record is from RNAcentral.